This 497-nucleotide ribosomal RNA is filed under the name uncultured bacterium. RNAcentral describes it as "partial 16S ribosomal RNA". It matches the Rfam family "Bacterial small subunit ribosomal RNA", at positions 28 to 507 of the family's 1533-position model. The record is from RNAcentral.
GAUGAACGCUGGCGGCGUGCCUAAUACAUGCAAGUCGAGCGAACAGACGAGGAGCUUGCUCCUCUGACGUUAGCGGCGGACGGGUGAGUAACACGUGGAUAACCUACCUAUAAGACUGGGAUAACUUCGGGAAACCGGAGCUAAUACCGGAUAAUAUAUUGAACCGCAUGGUUCAAUAGUGAAAGACGGUUUUGCUGUCACUUAUAGAUGGAUCCGCGCCGCAUUAGCUAGUUGGUAAGGUAACGGCUUACCAAGGCAACGAUGCGUAGCCGACCUGAGAGGGUGAUCGGCCACACUGGAACUGAGACACGGUCCAGACUCCUACGGGAGGCAGCAGUAGGGAAUCUUCCGCAAUGGGCGAAAGCCUGACGGAGCAACGCCGCGUGAGUGAUGAAGGUCUUCGGAUCGUAAAACUCUGUUAUUAGGGAAGAACAACUGUGUAAGUAACUAUGCACGUCUUGACGGUACCUAAUCAGAAAGCCACGGCUAACUACGUG